Apodemus sylvaticus (European woodmouse) is the source of this 979-nucleotide long non-coding RNA. RefSeq lists it as uncharacterized. Lineage: Eukaryota; Metazoa; Chordata; Mammalia; Rodentia; Muridae. The transcript is spliced from 3 exons. The record is from RefSeq and is a predicted model, not a curated record.
AGAAGGCAGGAGCGUGGGCUGUGGUGGCGGCUGGGGGUGCCUGCACUGAGAGACGUGUGGCCAUUGAGGUGGGAGAGGAGGCUGCUAGAAUACAAGCAGAGGUGGUAGGGUGGAAAGGCGGUGAGGGCCAGCCCACCUUCCCCCCCAUCCGCUUCCCACCCCCACCCCCUCCACCCAUCCACUCCAGGCCGGGACUCUAGCUAGGGCUUUUUCCUGAAGGAAACGGAGCAAACAUCAACAACAAUUUUCUCCAGGCAGGAAAAGACCAUGCUGAGCAUGCUCUGGAUCAGUCCUGGGAUCUUGUCGCAACGAUAGCUUGAGCCUCUCCUCUGCCUCCAGAUAGCCAACUGGACAGCUCUGAAAUGAGCAGAUGUGAACAGACCUUCCUCUAAAUCAAGCGUACAAAUGACCAAAAGACUGUCAGCAUCAUCAGCUACCAGGGCAGGGCACAUCUAACCCACGGUGAGAUGCCGCACACCUGUGAGGAUGGGCUAAUCCAAACGGCAGAGAAAUACAAGUGUUGUCAAGGAUGCAGAGCAACUCCAGCAUCCCAUGGCUGUGAUGCUAAGAGAGGGCCAGGUCUUUGGACGCUUGAACGCAGCCAUGGGACCUUGUCUGAACAGUGCCUGCACACUAGAACGUGCGCAAGACUGUUGCCAGCCACAGCGCUUAUGAUAAGCAAAAUGUGGAAAUAACUUGUGUCCAUCAACGGGUAAAUAAAAUAUGGUAUGUCUAUAAAAUGAAAUACUACUUGGCAAUAGGAAGGAAUGAAGAAGGCGCUGUAACAUAAAGAACCCUAAAAACACAACUGAAAGAAGUCUGUCACAAAAGAACAUCUACAGCCUGACAAGCAAGGUCCCCAGGGACAGAAAACAGAUUAAUGGCUGACAGCCUGUGGGAGGGGCUGAGACCAGCAAGUGGCUGCCCUAGGGGUAUGAGGAGUCUUUAUGAAGUGAUAAAAGUUGGUUGUGAUGUGACU